RNAcentral lists this ribosomal RNA (464 nucleotides) under uncultured bacterium. RNAcentral describes it as "partial 16S ribosomal RNA". It matches the Rfam family "Bacterial small subunit ribosomal RNA", at positions 29 to 507 of the family's 1533-position model. The record is from RNAcentral.
ACGAACGCUGGCGGCGUGCUUAACCCAUGCAAGUCGAACGGAAAGGCCCCUUCGGGGGUACUCGAGUGGCGAACGGGUGAGUAACACGUGAGUAACCUGCCCUUGACUUCGGGAUAACUUCAGGAAACUGGGGCUAAUACCGGAUAGGAAUCCUUGCUGCAUGGUGGGGGUUGGAAAGCUUCGGCGGUUUUGGAUGGACUCGCGGCUUAUCAGCUUGUUGGUGGGGUAGUGGCUUACCAAGGCUUUGACGGGUAGCCGGCCUGAGAGGGCGACCGGCCACAUUGGGACUGAGAUACGGCCCAGACUCCUACGGGAGGCAGCAGUGGGGAAGAUUGCACAAUGGGCGGAAGCCUGAUGCAGCAACGCCGCGUGCGGGAUGACGGCCUUCGGGUUGUAAACCGCUUUCAGCAGGGGCGAAGCUUGUGGUGACGGUACCUGCAGAAGAAGCACCGGCUAACUACGUG